AUGUCCGCCGCGCCCACCAUGUCCCCGGUGACCACGGCCGACGACGACGAGAUCCUGUACGAGUCCAUGCCACGCCUCCGCGUCUACAAGAGCCGCGUGGAGCGCUACCUGGUGGGCUCCGAGUUCGUCGCCGCCUCCACCGACGCCGCCACCGGGGUCGCCUCCCGCGACACCGCCAUCUCCCCCAACGUCUCCGCGCGCCUCUACCUCCCCCGCCUGGACGCCGACGCCGUGGACGGCACGCUCCCUGUCCUCGUCUACUACCACGGCGGCGGGUUCUGCCUCUUCUCCGCCUUCGACUCCACCUACCACGCCUACCUCAACGCCUUCGCCGCGCGCGCCAACGCCCUCGUCGUCUCCGUCGAGUACCGCCUCGCGCCCGAGCACCCCGUACCCGCCGCGUACGCGGACUCAUGGGAGGCGCUCGCGUGGGUUUUCUCCCACAGCGCCGGCGCCGGUGACGAGCCGUGGCUCGCCCGCCACGCCGACCUCUCCCGCCUCUACCUUAGCGGCGACAGCGCCGGCGCCAACAUCGCGCACCACAUGGCCAUGCGGGCGGGCGCCAGCGUCCGGGGCCUCGUCCUGGUGCACCCCUACUUCCUGGGGAGCGACGAGGUGGGCUCAGACGGCCUGGACCCGGCGGCGCGGGAGCGGCUCGGGAGGCUGUGGCGCGUCGCGUGCCCGGCCGCCGCGGGGGAGGACGACCCGCUCAUCAACCCGCUCGCGGACGGCGCGCCGGGGCUCGAGGCCCUGGCGUGCGGGCGCGUCCUCGUGUGCGUCGCCGGGGUGGACGUGCUCCGCGACCGCGGCCGCGCCUACUACGACCGGCUCGGGGCCAGCGGGUGGCCUGGCGAGGUGGAGAUGUGGCAGGCGCCGGGCAAGGGGCACAGGUUCCACCUGCUGGAGCCGGGCUGUGACGAGGCCGCCGAGCAGGACAAGGUCAUCAGCGGCUUCCUCAACCGCUGA
Molecule: ribosomal RNA, 966 nt
Filed under: Triticum aestivum (bread wheat)
Lineage: Eukaryota; Viridiplantae; Streptophyta; Magnoliopsida; Poales; Poaceae
Description: partial small subunit ribosomal RNA
Source: RNAcentral